CGCACAUUGCGCCCUUUAGUAUUCUUUAGGGCAUGCCUGUUCGAGCGUCAUUUAAACCUUCAAGCACAGCUUGGUGUUGGGUACCUGCCCGUUUUUCGGGCUUACCUCAAAGAUAUUGGCAGCUUGUCUAUCCGCUAUCAGCGCAGCACAAAUGCGUCUAAGGCGGGUGGACGAGCAUCCAGAAGCUUUCUAUUAUCUUGACCUCGGAUCAGGUAGGGAUACCCGCUGAACUUAA
RNAcentral lists this unclassified non-coding RNA (235 nucleotides) under Pleosporales sp. RNAcentral's name for it is "partial contains 5.8S ribosomal RNA, internal transcribed spacer 2, and large subunit ribosomal RNA". The record is from RNAcentral. Lineage: Eukaryota; Fungi; Ascomycota; Dothideomycetes; Pleosporales.